Plodia interpunctella (Indianmeal moth) is the source of this 1149-nucleotide long non-coding RNA. RefSeq lists it as uncharacterized. The record is from RefSeq and is a predicted model, not a curated record. Lineage: Eukaryota; Metazoa; Arthropoda; Insecta; Lepidoptera; Pyralidae. The transcript is spliced from 2 exons.
CCAUGAUGCCAAGAGAGACCAUGUCACGACGGAUUGCGAAAUGUUAGAAGUACCGCAUACUAAUAUAGACUCGCCCCAUUCAAAGACGAGAAAAAGAAGUGCCGAUGAGAUUGAAUACCCUCGUAGCAAGCGUCACCGAGAAGAGGGUAUGGUGCCACCAACUUCAAACUGCAACCCAUGUUUACUACGUCCAACCCACAACAACCCUGAUAUAUCUCGUUGUCUCAUGGUCCAUAUGAUCUAAUCUCUACUUCUAUUAUGAAGCAAAAACCUAAUUCAGCAAUGUCCAUUUUAUCUACAGAAGUACAAAGAGAGAGAAACAUAGAACCUGAGACAAACGAGAACAAGAUAUCGGACAAGAAUACAGAAGACUUAUUGGAAACUUUGUACUGGAACAUUCACGGUGGAAACAUAUUUCAUAUAGUAUAAGUGUAUUUGACGUGCGAUUGUGAGAUUGUGUGAUAUGAUAUACCUGCAGUGAUAGAGACUUUAAAGUAUUUUGUGAUUUUCUCAUGUUUAAUAGUAAGGGUUUCAUAAUAAAAUUAAAGGAAAAAGGGAGGAUUUUCAUUUAUAUAAACUUUAAUACACUUUACGUAUUUAUUUAAAUAAAUAUUACAUAUUAUAUGAAAAUGUGUUAUGUAAAGAUACAUCAAUCACUAAUUCACUAAACAUAGUAGGAUACAAUUUAAAUAUUGGUGAAUGUUUUAGUAGUCAGGUUUUCCUCAAUCUUCUCAAGUUUCAAUCUGAAAAGGGAGAUAUUAAUGUAAUUAAUUUCUAUUUAUUUUGUUUUUCUGUUACAGAUGGUGAAGAAGAUUUAAUCAACUAUAUUUUCUUUCAGGAUUCACUCAAACAAUGAACAAACAAAAAGUUUGUGGUUUGAGUGUUUGCUCCACUAUGGACAUAAUAUUGAAUUCACCUUUUUGCUUUUCAGAUGAUUCUUCCAUGUGCAGCCUCGUUGGCACACGGUCAAGCCCGAGCCACUCCGCUUCCGCCUUUAAUAUAAACAUACCACAAUUUUACGUAUUGAAUAUAAAAUACAGAUUACUGUUUAAUUUUAGUAUUAUAUAGUGGAGUAAAGAAGGAGGAUUUUGUUAACUGUGAUACUUUUACCAUUAUUGUAAUAAAAUAAUUUAUAUGAAACUUAUAAAA